CCUACGGGAGACAGCAGUGAGGAAUAUUGGUCAAUGGACGAGAGUCUGAACCAGCCAAGUAGCGUGAAGGAUGACUGCCCUAUGGGUUGUAAACUUCUUUUAUAAAGGAAUAAAAUGAGGCACGUGUGCCUUUUUGCAUGUACUUUAUGAAUAAGGAUCGGCUAACUCCGUGCCAGCCGCCGCGGUAAUACGGAGGAUCCGAGCGUUAUCCGGAUUUAUUGGGUUUAAAGGGAGCGUAGAUGGGUUGUUAAGUCAGUUGUGAAAGUUUGCGGCUCAACCGUAAAAUUGCAAUUGAUACUGGCAGUCUUGAGUACAGUUGAGGUAGGCGGAAUUCGUGGUGUAGCGGUGAAAUGCUUAGAUAUCACGAAGAACCCCGAUUGCGAAGGCAGCUUACUAAACUGUGACUGACAUUGAUGCUCGAAAGUGUGGGUAUCAAACAGGAUUAGAUACCCUUGUAGUC
RNAcentral lists this ribosomal RNA (460 nucleotides) under uncultured bacterium. RNAcentral's name for it is "partial 16S ribosomal RNA". It matches the Rfam family "Bacterial small subunit ribosomal RNA", at positions 338 to 795 of the family's 1533-position model. The record is from RNAcentral.